GGGUUAAUGCACGCCGUCAACUUCUCUAGGCUUUCCAGCGUCAAGAAAAUUAGUUUGAAGGGGAUCUACGCUGCAGAUUAUGGACACUGAAGAACGUUACGUAAAAUAUGUAACACAAACAAACAAAAACAGUAUGUGUAAACAGUAUGUGCAAAGUUCAAGUCUGGGUGGCCAGAAGUUACAUUUGGUUGUAACAGUGACCCGAUUACCGCCUCUCUCUGCAAACACAAAGGAUCACUUUCCUCAGCGGAUCUACCCCAAUCAUCAUUAACGGGACCCCAGUGGAGAGAGUGAGCAGCUUCAAAUACCUUCAAAUGCCCUGCAAAGAGUAGCUGAGCACAUGUCCAGAACAUCUCUCCCCUCUCUGCAAGACAUCCACACCAGAAGAUGUAAAUCUAGGGCUGUUAAGAUCCUUAAAGACCCCACCAACCCAUCUGCUACAGUCAGGCAGACCCUUCUGCAGUCUGAUGGCAAAGACGGAGAGGCUCAGGAGGAGUUUCUUCCCUCAUGUUAUCAGACUACUAAACAUGGACUUUAAACACACUGAACUUUAUAGACUGGUUGUUUAGUGCUACUCAAUAACUCUCUGCACACUGUGCUUUUUUGACAACCUAACUAUGCAACUCAUCGUCACUGCACAUUGUGUACAUCUCUACACAUUAUCUGUGUAGCAGUUUCUGUGUAGCAUCUCUACAAAUCAUCUGUGUAGUAGUUUAAUACAGUAUAUUGUGUAGAUUUCAUUAUUUGUAUUUAAUUAUCUCCAAAAAAAAAAAAAAACUUUUAAUUUUUUUCCUGUUGUUUCAUUACUUGUUUUUAAUUUUCUCUUAUUUUUUUGCACAGUCUAAAAAGAGUAUGCCAGACCUACAUUUCACUGCUUUUUGCAUGUCAUAUAACAACUAAAACUUGAAUUUUGAAUGGUGUGGAGCGUUACCUGUGAUUGAGUUGGUGAUAAAAAAGGAGAUGGGGAAAAGAGUGUCUUAAAUUGGACUUUGGUACGUCUUGGAAUGUUUUAUUAUUAUUAUUAAUUCUUGUAUUACUAUUUAGAUUUUUUUUUUCUUUUUUAAAUUAAAUGUUUAUUUGUAAAAUUUACUUCCACGCCUUUUGUAAUGUUGUUUCACCUAGAGACAAGGGUGUUUUAACAAUCUAAACAAUAUAAUUCUCCCUCAGAUUUCAAACUUGCAUUAAAGAAAAACAUUAACAUACAGUAAACAUUUUCUUGAUACUGAUAUAAUUAUAAAAUUAAUAUAAUUUAA
Carassius gibelio (silver crucian carp) is the source of this 1253-nucleotide long non-coding RNA. RefSeq lists it as uncharacterized. The transcript has 4 exons. The record is from RefSeq and is a predicted model, not a curated record. NCBI's taxonomy places the organism in Eukaryota, Metazoa, Chordata, Actinopteri, Cypriniformes, Cyprinidae.